GUCGAACGGUAACAGGCCGCAAGGUGCUGACGAGUGGCGAACGGGUGAGUAAUGCAUCGGAACGUGCCCAGUCGUGGGGGAUAACGCAGCGAAAGCUGUGCUAAUACCGCAUACGAUCUAUGGAUGAAAGCGGGGGACCGUAAGGCCUCGCGCGAUUGGAGCGGCCGAUGUCAGAUUAGCUAGUUGGUGGGGUAAAGGCCCACCAAGGCGACGAUCUGUAGCUGGUCUGAGAGGACGACCAGCCACACUGGGACUGAGACACGGCCCAGACUCCUACGGGAGGCAGCAGUGGGGAAUUUUGGACAAUGGGCGCAAGCCUGAUCCAGCAAUGCCGCGUGCAGGAAGAAGGCCUUCGGGUUGUAAACUGCUUUUGUACGGAACGAAACGGUCCGGGUUAAUACCCUGGGCUAAUGACGGUACCGUAAGAAUAAGCACCGGCUAACUACGUGCCAGCAGCCGCGGUAAUACGUAGGGUGCAAGCGUUAAUCGGAAUUACUGGGCGUAAAGCGUGCGCAGGCGGUGAUGUAAGACAGGCGUGAAAUCCCCGGGCUCAACCUGGGAAUUACGCUUGUGACUGCAUCGCUGGAGUGCGGCAGAGGGGGAUGGAAUUCCGCGUGUAGCAGUGAAAUGCGUAGAUAUGCGGAGGAACACCGAUGGCGAAGGCAAUCCCCUGGGCCUGCACUGACGCUCAUGCACGAAAGCGUGGGGAGCAAACAGGAUUAGAUACCCUGGUAGUCCACGCCCUAAACGAUGUCAACUGGUUGUUGGGUCUCUUCUGACUCAGUAACGAAGCUAACGCGUGAAGUUGACCGCCUGGGGAGUACGGCCGCAAGGUUGAAACUCAAAGAAAUUGACGGGACCCGCACAAGCGGUGGAUGAUGUGGUUUAAUUCGAUGCACGCGAAAACCUUACCCACCUUUGACAUGUACGAUUUGCAGAGAUGGCUUAGU
Molecule: ribosomal RNA, 950 nt
Filed under: uncultured beta proteobacterium
Lineage: Bacteria; Pseudomonadati; Pseudomonadota; Betaproteobacteria
Description: bacterial SSU rRNA
Rfam family: Bacterial small subunit ribosomal RNA
Source: RNAcentral